RNAcentral lists this long non-coding RNA (470 nucleotides) under Heterocephalus glaber (naked mole-rat). RNAcentral's name for it is "lncRNA (ENSHGLG00100039556.1)". Lineage: Eukaryota; Metazoa; Chordata; Mammalia; Rodentia; Bathyergidae. The record is from RNAcentral.
GUGUGGGGGAAAAGGAAUGCUUAUACAUGGUGAGAUUGUAAAUUAGUACACUUACUAGGAAAAUCAGUAUGGAAGUUAGUCAAAAAAGUAAAAAUAGAACUACCAUAUGAUCCAGCUAUACCACUCCUUGGUGUAUACCUGAAGAAAUUAAAGUCAGCAUAUGAUAGAAAUAACCUGCACUCCUGUGUUUAUUCCCAUACAGUUCACAUAGCUUUAUGGAAUCAGCCAAGGUGCCUACAAUGGAUGAAUGGAUGAAGAAAAUGUGGCAUAUAUACACAAUAGAGUGUUUAGACAUAAAGAACAAAAUUAUGUCAUUGCCAGCAAAAAUGGGUGGAACUGGAGAUCAUCGUGUUAAGUGAAUACAAUAAUCACAGCCACUAUAUUCUUGCUUUUGCAAUAGUCUCAGACUCAAGAUCUCCCUUUCUUAAUGAAGAUUUGGACUUUGAUAUUUUGUAUUUGUGUUAAUGGGG